GGAAGGGGUGCAACAUUAGAUGGGCUGGUCAGGGAAGGCUUCUCUGAUGAGCUGACAUUUGAGCAGGGACAUGCAUGGUAACAGUCUCUAGCCUUAUGAAGCUCAGUAAGAACCACGUCCCUGAGGUUGGAACAAAUGGACAAAAUGAAGAGGAGAAGAUGGCAGAUUGCUUAAUUUCUUGAAAUGUGAUGAUCAAGAACACAGCUUGGAAGUUCAACGGACCGUAAGUUUGAGCCAAGACUGAACCGCAAAGGACACAUUCCUACUUUCACAGAAGUAGAAUCUAUUCCUUCCCUCCUCUUGAACCUGGGCAAGCCUGAGUGAUUUGUUUGGUCAAUAGAGUGGGAUGGAAGUAACGUUCUGGAACAGCUGAGUCCCGGUCAUAAGAAGCCAGGCCAUCUCUCUCUGAGCCUUCUGGAACCAUCACUCUAGGGAAAGUAAGCUACCAAUCAGGAGUCUGAUUACCCUGAGACCACCAUGCUGUAGGAAGCCCAAGUCACAUGGAAAGGCCCUGGAAGAAGACAUGCUAUGUGGAGAGAGAGAAAAAGAGAGCGGCCAAGGAGGACUGAGGCACCAGACGUAGUUGUGCUCUCUCUGGGCCCUGCAGUGAAGUUUUGGCCUGGUGCCUAGAAACACCUCCAUGUUACUCAGAACAAGGCGAGGUGCAAACCAAACCAAUGGCACGGAAGGUCCCUUGCUGCUUCUAGAAUCUGUCCAGCUAUCGCAUCAAAAUCAUGUUCAGCAUCUGUGAAAUUGACCCUCAACUGUGAAAUCAUAUUUUAAUGAUAAAGUGCCAAAAGUGUUCUGCAAGUAUAAGGUGUGUGUCCGUGAUCCCACUCUUCUCUGCACCUCUGCCUGCUCUCCCAAAUGAAGACUGCCCAUCCGGCUCAUCACCUUGGUCCUACCUAGCUUUCCAGGCCAAGUUCAAAUUCUUCCUUUGCAAUGGAACUGAGGACCACCUCAUUGGUCCCAUAUAUCUCUUCUCUUCUUGAUCCAAAUCCCUGCUCAAAAGGAAGAUUAGCCCUGAGCUAACAUCCAUGCCCAUCUUCCUCUAUCUUAUAUGUGGCAUGCUGCCACAGCAUGGCUUGAUAAGUGGUGUGUAGGUCCAUGCCCAGGAUCUGGGCUGGCAAACCCUGGGCCACUGAAGUGGAACACUCAAACUUAACCACCACGCCACCCGGCUGGCCCCCUUCGGACACAACUUUUAACCUUCAUCAGCCUCAAGUGACCACCUGUAAAACGGCUACAAGGUCUGACUGUCUAUGAGGCUGUGAGCACUUGGUGAUGUUUAAUAAACAGGGCCUGGACUAGGGCAAGAAUGGCCAGAGGCAGAACCAGAAACGUAGGGAGAAGGUUUUCCUUUGCAGCUUUCUGAGAGCCCUUACAAGCACUUGAUCUUUGUUCCCUUCAGCAACAAUGGAUGAGAGUAUACAACAUUGGAGCCACAAAGUGUGAACUGACGUAUGAAUUGGAGAAAGAUGUUUGCCGGGUAGGAGGAAUGUGGAAGACCACGCUGGCUCCAAACUGUGAAGACUGAGGCACAUAUUAGAAGAGUCUUCUCCCCAACAGCUCCCAUCUAUACCAGUUACCAGUUUGCUGCUUCUACCCCAACGACCAGGCCGUCUCCCCUACGCAGAAACCUAUUAACCCUAGGAGGUG
RNAcentral lists this long non-coding RNA (1659 nucleotides) under Equus caballus (horse). RNAcentral describes it as "lncRNA (ENSECAG00000035590.3)". Lineage: Eukaryota; Metazoa; Chordata; Mammalia; Perissodactyla; Equidae. The record is from RNAcentral.